CACGCCGUAAACUAUGCGCGUUAGGUGUAUCGGUGACCACGAGUUACCGAGGUGCCGAAGGGAAACCGUGAAACGUGCCGCCUGGGAAGUACGGUCGCAAGGCUGAAACUUAAAGGAAUUGGCGGGGGGAGGCACCACAACAGGUGGAGCCUGCGGUUUAAUUGGACUCAACGCCGGGAAGCUCACCGGAUAGGACAGCGGAAUGAUUGCCGGGCUGAAGACUCUGCAUGACUAGCUGAGAGGAGGUGCAUGGCGUAGA
This 259-nucleotide ribosomal RNA is filed under the name uncultured archaeon. RNAcentral's name for it is "partial 16S ribosomal RNA". It matches the Rfam family "Archaeal small subunit ribosomal RNA", at positions 747 to 1004 of the family's 1478-position model. The record is from RNAcentral.